AUUGAACGCUGGCGGCAGGCCUAACACAUGCAAGUCGAGCGGAUGAAGGGAGCUUGCUCCUGGAUUCAGCGACGGACGGGUGAGUAAUGCCUAGGAAUCUGCCUGGUAGUGGGGGAUAACGUCCGGAAACGGGCGCUAAUACCGCAUACGUCCUGAGGGAGAAAGUGGGGGAUCUUCGGACCUCACGCUAUCAGAUGAGCCUAGGUCGGAUUAGCUAGUUGGUGGGGUAAAGGCCUACCAAGGCGACGAUCCGUAACUGGUCUGAGAGGAUGAUCAGUCACACUGGAACUGAGACACGGUCCAGACUCCUACGGGAGGCAGCAGUGGGGAAUAUUGGACAAUGGGCGAAAGCCUGAUCCAGCCAGGCCGCGUGUGUGAAGAAGGUCUUCGGAUUGUAAAGCACUUUAAGUUGGGAGGAAGGGCAGUAAGUUAAUACCUUGCUGUUUUGACGUUACCAACAGAAUAAGCACCGGCUAACUUCGUG
Molecule: ribosomal RNA, 484 nt
Filed under: uncultured bacterium
Lineage: Bacteria
Description: partial 16S ribosomal RNA
Rfam family: Bacterial small subunit ribosomal RNA
Source: RNAcentral